UUCUUUUGGUACAUGCCUGAUGUUCCAGAUGGUCUGUGAGGCAGGGUCCUUGUCUUGUCCUCUGCUGAUCCCGAGUCCACACAGCAUCUUGCAUGGAGCAGGUGACCCCCUGGAGCGUGUGUGGAUCCAGCCACCUCCUCUUCUAGGGCAGCUCAGCCUCCCAGAGCGCCAUCCUCAACAUGGCCAGAAGAUGGCACCAAGGCUUCUGUCAGCGCCACCUGGCAGCAAGAGGCUUCACCGGGGGGGCCAGAGAAGAUGGCCAUCAGGAA
This 269-nucleotide long non-coding RNA is filed under the name Homo sapiens (human). Its description in RNAcentral is "HSALNT0360245". The record is from RNAcentral. Lineage: Eukaryota; Metazoa; Chordata; Mammalia; Primates; Hominidae.